UUAGUAGUAACUGAAAGCCUGUUACACUCACUGACUAAACAGGUUUGAUUCUUCUGAGUAUUUUUACUCUCUGCUAACAGCAGCAGUUCUUCUGCAUUCUGUGGAGAAGAAAGGGAGCUGGAUUUUGCUUUGUUUCACAGAGUUGAUUUUGCUGUCUUUAAUAACGAAAAAAAUGUUUGCACAAGGGGGGACUGGACUGUGAACAGCCUGGCCUAGUGGACGUUGUCCCUACCCAUGACAAGGCGUUUGAAAUAGAUGAUCUUCAAGGUUCCUUCCAUCUAAACCAGUCUAUGAUUCUACAUAUUCAAGAACUAUGUUAACCAGAGUAUGUGAAACAAUUUUUUCCACAUUACUGAUACAUCUUUAUGGUUCAAUCUGUUCUAUUUUCAGAUUUUUUUCUGGAGGUUGCUACAAAAUAUAGGAGUUACUGAUAAAAUUUUUAAGUAAAUAGUCCUCUAGAAAUUUCCUUUUCAUUUUUGUUUAAAUGGAGGUAUACCCGAAAUAUGCACAAAGUAGUUCCACCAAAAUCAGCCCAGGCAUUCCACUUAUUAUGGCUACACAGCUACACAAAAUGAUCUCUCACUAACUGCAAGAGAAAGUUCUCCUUGUCUGGUAUACUUUUGAUGGCACAAACAUGGCAAAAGAAAUUCUGCUGCUUAUUGUUCAAAACAUCCUUUUUGUGAAAAACAAACAAACAAACCCAAAGAAAUGGAGUUGUGUCCAGCAUGAAGUGAAAAAGAGGGCGUUGCCAGGGAGGGGCACACGAGAACCUAUCUCUGCAGGGGCGUUUCACACAAGCCUUAUCACUGGCACACAUUUGAAUACACCCCAUUCCUGCUCUUUUGUGUGGGCUGGGGUCCCAAAUCAGACAGCACAGAUGUCCUACUCUGUCACAUGUCCAUACUGUGCUUGGGCACACUCAGGAGGGAACAGAAAUCCAUGGUCAAUUAUUUCAGUACUAUUAAUACCUAUUCUAAAGUGGUGUCUGACAGCAAAACUUAGUGCUUUGAAAUCAACUGGUUGGGGGCUCCCAACCAAUGGACUGAUGUCUUUCUAUCACAAGUGCUAUCAGCAAAAAGCAUCCAGGUUGUCUCCAGCACCACUGCUUCCAGCCGUGCAGCCUGGCUCAAAGCUCACCAGCAGGAAGGCUUGUGAGACAGAAAGGCACUUCUUCCUAGUGCUGCUGGCUGCAGCAUAGAGGGCUUUUCAACUUUUUGCAAGUUAUCCACAAAUGAAACAGCCUGCUCUACAAGGACAACUAUCUAGCUGUGGUAAUCAUUGCAGACUGGAAAUUCAGAGCUUGAAGGGGCCUGCAAAGACUUCCUCAACCUUCUUCACACUGCACAGGACAGACAUUGGGUGGAAAACAACAGCAGAAAAGUGGAACAAUGUAUUCACAAGACUCCGAUGUGCACACCUGAGGGAAGAACUGACUCAGGAUUUGAAGGAAGCAACAACUUAAAAAACAGACCUGCAACAUGAUCACGGUCCUGUGUUCCAGUUGCAAGAUCUAGUGAAGAAUUUAGGGUAUUUUCAUAAUCUCUCUUUGAAGGUGUAAUAUCACCUGU
Parus major (Great Tit) is the source of this 1568-nucleotide long non-coding RNA. RefSeq lists it as uncharacterized. The record is from RefSeq and is a predicted model, not a curated record. Lineage: Eukaryota; Metazoa; Chordata; Aves; Passeriformes; Paridae. The transcript is spliced from 3 exons.